AGUGAACGCUGGCGGUAGGCCUAACACAUGCAAGUCGAGCGGCAGCAUAGUAAGAGCUUGCUCUUACGGGUGGCGAGUGGCGGACGGGUGAGGAAUACAUCGGAAUCUACUUUUUCGUGGGGGAUAACGUAGGGAAACUUACGCUAAUACCGCAUACGACCUCCUUGUGAAAGCAGGGGAUCUUCGAACCUUGCGCGAGUGAAUGAGCCGAUGUCGGAUUAGCUAGUUGGCGGGGUAAAGGCCCACCAAGGCGACGAUCCGUAGCUGGUCUGAGAGGAAGAACAGCCACACUGGAUCUGAGGCAGAGGCCAGACUCCUACGGGGGGAAGCAGUGGGGAAUAUUGGACAAUGGAGGAGAGCCGGAUCCAGCCAUACCGCGUGGGUGAAGAAGGCCUUCGGGUGGUAAAGCGCUUUUGUUGGGAAAGAAGAGCAGCAGGUUAAUCCCCCGCUGUUCUGACGGUACCCAAAGAAUAAGCACCGGCUAACUUCGUG
Molecule: ribosomal RNA, 492 nt
Filed under: uncultured bacterium
Lineage: Bacteria
Description: partial 16S ribosomal RNA
Rfam family: Bacterial small subunit ribosomal RNA
Source: RNAcentral